RNAcentral lists this transfer RNA (76 nucleotides) under Chloroflexota bacterium. RNAcentral describes it as "Chloroflexi bacterium (groundwater metagenome) tRNA-Asp". It matches the Rfam family "tRNA". From Rfam's summary of the family: Transfer RNA (tRNA) molecules are approximately 80 nucleotides in length. Their secondary structure includes four short double-helical elements and three loops (D, anti-codon, and T loops). The record is from RNAcentral. Lineage: Bacteria; Bacillati; Chloroflexota.
GGCCCGGUGGUGUAGCGGCUAACACGCGGCCCUGUCAAGGCCGAGAUCGUGGGUUCGAAUCCCAUCCGGGUCGCCA